Phoenix dactylifera (date palm) is the source of this 200-nucleotide non-coding RNA. The record is from RefSeq and is a predicted model, not a curated record. NCBI's taxonomy places the organism in Eukaryota, Viridiplantae, Streptophyta, Magnoliopsida, Arecales, Arecaceae.
GAGGUAUUGAUAUGCGCACAAGAUUGGCUUCGAGAUAGCUUGCCUUAUCUUGCAGAUAUUCCACCUCCUCAUACAAAAUACAAGGUUGAAGAUUACGAAACUGUUGUUGAUAUUAAUACCGAUGAUUAGCUUAUGCUGGAUGGUGGUAAUCUAUCUUAACUGAUGUUCUUGAUUGUUUCUGCCGUGCGGGUGAUCCUUUA